RNAcentral lists this ribosomal RNA (795 nucleotides) under Triticum aestivum (bread wheat). RNAcentral's name for it is "partial small subunit ribosomal RNA". Lineage: Eukaryota; Viridiplantae; Streptophyta; Magnoliopsida; Poales; Poaceae. The record is from RNAcentral.
AUGGCAGCAUCCACUUUCCUUGAGGAGGUCGGUGAGUGUUUGGUGCCCGCCCCGGUGGUGGCGGAGCCCAUAGCGGUCGAUACGGUAGUGGAGCUUGAGGUGGCGUCGCAAAAGAUGCUGGAUCAGGCGCAACCGGAGCCGGAGGGUCCGGCUUUCACAGCGAAGGCACAAAUCUUGCCGGGCAGUGAAGCGGCGGCGGAGAGGAAAGACAGUUCUCCACCCAGUUCGGAGCUGUCAACUGGGAAGAUGAACCCCCGAGCGCCUGGAUGGAAUAAGAGGUUGAGGACCGUUGCUGCAACUCCAAGCCGCCCACCUUGCCCAAACCGCACCAGUGCAUUUGAGAAGGCCGUUCGUAGCUAUGCCGAAAACCCAACUGAGAAUGUAAUAACCCCAACUGUCGGCACAUCGUUCGACUCGGUUGGGGAGGCAUACGACUUUUACAAUUUGUAUUCAUGGGAAAAGGGCUUUGGUAUUCGAUACGGUAAGAGCCGACUGAAUGUUGAGAGGACGAAGUGCAUGCAGGAAAUAGUCUGUGGUUGCUCGGGGAAAGCUGGUGUGGAGAACACAAGGUCAUGUCGUUGCGAAUGCCCUGCUCUGAUAAUGGCUGGACCAAUGCAUCAGAGGCAAGUGGCAAAUGCAACGACUGCUGUGUCGAGGCAAAUGCCAUUGAUGCAGGUCCCCCGGGCUUCGGGCGUAGCACGGCCACAUCUAUUGGUGUGCAACAGACAGAAGGAGAUGAAAAUGAAAUGGGGAAUAUCUUGCAAGAGAUCACAGAAAUGGAAGCUACUACUAUAG